UUAUGUCAUUCUCUUUUAAAACAAAGGGCAAAAUAAAAAGAUCAUAAACCUGAUCCCUUGAAUCAUUGUGUUGUUUGUCUUACAAUAGUUUGGAGAAACAUAUUUAAUUAUACAAAGAAAAAUCAUCAGCUAAAUUUCUUCGAUCUUCAUGCUAAUCUAAAGGAAGCUCUCUCCUCUGUUUCUCUCACCUGCGAUUAUGUUUUCGAUGGGCAUGUUCAUCUUCUUGUUUAUUUCCGGAGUUCCAAUGGCCAUUGGAUCGAUCCGCCGUUCACAGGCAAGUGAUUUGGUUUCUCCAAUAGGCGGUGGCCUGUUUGAAUUCUCCUCCACUCGAUCUCUCGAGAGGAUCCGUUCGAGAUCUAUGUUGUUUUUGCUUUCUCCUUUCCAGAUUUAAGUCCGGCGUCGAUGUAAUAAGUCCGGCAUCGAGUCGUCAAGCCGCUGGAUCAUCGAGUUACUGUAGACGAUUGCAAAAACGUAUUUGUUUAUUAUCAGCCGAAGCGACCGAAGCUUGACGACGAGGCUUAGUUAACUCUGAUUCCUUUUCAAAGUAGCGAUUUUCAGGGUUUCUCGCUGAGCAGGAGGAGCAAGAGCUGGAGAAGUAUGCUUAGAGAGCAGGAGGAGUAUGCUUAGAGAACAUGAUAAGUUCGAUUUGUUUUUGGAUUUGUUCAGAUCUUUGUCAUAGUUGCAUUUCCAGAUGAUGGAGCCUGGAAGCGUUUCCACAAGCUCUUGGAUCACUACCCCACGGUUGUGUGUAUAAAAGUUCGUGAAGGAGAUAAGAGAAUAGUCAGGCUGAAGGAAGGUAACCCCUCUGGUUGUCACGUUGUUAUCGUUGAUGAUCUUGUGCAGUCUGGGGGUACACUCAUUGAAUGCCAUUGGAACCCUCAUGAACAAUCUCCCUGCAUUUUGCAUCUACCUAUAGCAAACUUCAAUGACUUCUUAAACACACAAGUGUUAAGAUAAAAACUAAGGAGAGGCUCUACGUCAAACUUGAUUAAGUCUUUCAUGCUAACUUGUGUUAACAUUCCAAGUUCAGACUAGUUUUGAUCGAGAAUACUUGUUAUUUCUUUAAUCUGCAGAUGAUGUUUUAUGCAAAUCUAGUCUGAAAUUGUCAAGAGAAUUGGCGGUUUCAUUUGUCUUAACUGUUUCACUUUCUUUUUUGUCACACAAAAAGUAUUGGCAGCUCAUGGAGCCACGAAGGUGAGUGCUUAUGUAACUCACGGUGUCUUCCCAAAGAGCUCGUGGGAGCGUUUCACCCACAAAGAUUACAUGAACUAACUUUCUCAGAUUCAAAUCACAUUUUUUGUGAGAAUUACAUUUUUAAGAUUUGAGAAAACUUGCCGUUUUCUGUGAUGAAUGCAGAUGGAUUUCCAUUGAUCUCUUUAAGAUCAGUGCCAAAUGCAUGAGUUUUCAUGUUAGAAUUUUUGUUAUGUCUGCAAUUUGUGAGUUUUGGUUGACUUGGGAUUUGUGCUUCUUUCAAUGGCUGAUUAAUGUGUUACAUGGUAUCGUUAUUGAUACUCUUUAGUUUAUUGGAUUUUUUAAUCAAAUUGCUUAUAUCCUUGUAUUGAAUUGAAAAACUUGAUUGCAGGAGCUAUGAUUUCAAGCAUAUUCAAGAAAGAAGAAUAUAUGGGUUCUCAUAUAUUAUGAACAGUGGAGAAAACACGUUUCAUCAAGCUUCAUAAUUCUCUUAGUGUUGGUGAAUUACAAGGCCAAACCGGCGACUGCUGCAAUGGAAAAUAAACAAAAAGUCUUUGUUUUUUUUGGAAUUGCACAUAGACGGUUAGCACAAAGGUGGCUGGUUCCGGUGUUAUCACAGCGGGUUUUGAGUUAAAGCCUCCUCCAUAUCCUCUAUGAUGCAGUUUUUUCGGUGGUGUGAUAUUCUUUGCAUGUGUGCAGAAGCUACAGACUUUGGUUAGAUUUUUGGUCUCUCCGUUGUUAUAUACUUCAGAAUGGUAUGACACCAUUGAAAAAGAAGUGACAAAGAUCGGAAGUCCAAGGUCCAAGAGGGUGCAGGGGAAGAUGUAAAAUCAGAACAAGGAAAAGAGAAAGCAGCUGAAGAGAAAGGAGUGCCAGAUUUCUGGCUUAUUGCAUUGAAGAACAAUGAAAUUACUGCUCAGGAGAUAACUGAGCGAGAUGAAGGGGCUCCCAAGUAUCUUAAAGAUAUCAAGUGGGAGUAGGGUUGAAAAACCAAAAGGUUUCAAGCUUGAGUUUUCUUUUGAUCAGAACCCUUACUUCAAGAACACUGUCUUGACCAAGACAUAUCCUGGAAAGUGUUUGACACAAAAGAUUCUUAAAAAAGAAGCCAAAGAAAGGAUCCAAAAACACUAAGCCGAUCACUAAGACUGAGGACUGUGAGAGCUUCUUCAACUUUUUCACUCCACCCCAAGUUCCUGACGAUGAUGAGGAUCUUGAUGAUGAAAUGGCUGAUGAACUCCAAGGCCAAAUGGAACACAACUAUGAUAUCGGGUUUAUACCUUUUUAUUUCAUCUUCUGUUCUCUUCAUUUAAUUCCUCAGUCAAAAGAUAUGAAUCUACUGUUUAUCCCAUCUCGCACUGUGUCAUGGUUCAAUGGUGAAGCUGUUGAGGCAGAUGACCUUGAUAUGGAAGACCACGAUGAUGAGAUUGACGAGGAUGAUGACAAGGAGGAAUAAACUGAUCAAGGAAAGAAGAACAAAAGGAGGGUAAUUACUGUUUAUCCAAACUUGAGGUUCAUGUAGACACCUGGAGGUCUCUCUCGGGGUUGGAUCGAGAGCAACUGUGUUGAAUCACCUACGACAUCUGCCCACCCAUAAUGUGGCUCAGCCCUUCGCCAAAAACAUGAUCCAAAGAUAUAUUAAUAAAGCACAAAAUUAGAUAAUAUGUUUAGAUUUAAGCUCUCUCUCUUACUCAUAGGACGUUUCUUCAUCCACCACUAUGUCCCAGCUUUCUCCCGUUGUACUCUUUUGUAUUUAUGAACCUUUCUGCAAUCACAUACAUAAUAAUAUUAGACCUCUGUUGUUUCAACUGCUCA
Camelina sativa (false flax) is the source of this 3003-nucleotide non-coding RNA. NCBI's taxonomy places the organism in Eukaryota, Viridiplantae, Streptophyta, Magnoliopsida, Brassicales, Brassicaceae. The record is from RefSeq and is a predicted model, not a curated record.